UAUUUUGCUGGGGGGCUGUAACAGGGUGUCUUGCCCCAUGGAGUGCAGAUCCUGGGACUAAGCCAACCCUAAUAAUAUGAUGAGCCCCGCCUGAGUGGGAUCAGGAAUUCCCUAUAAAAGGCCACAGGUGGCUGAUCCAAGCUGGGGGAAACCACUCAGGAAAUAGAGGUCUGAGAAGUUGUAGUUGGCAAGAAGGUGAAGGAAACUGCUGCAGGGAGCAAGAUUAGUUCUUGCAGAGACUUUGAAAGUGCAGAUCUGGGGAAGAGGGCUGGGAAUACCCCAAUGAAGGAGAGACAGAUGUUGAACUGAGUUUGGGGCCUGGAUGGCCAAUGUAUAUGUGAAGAAUGAAUAAAUUGGACCUCAGGCUGCUGCCAAGGUCUCCUGCUGUACCUGGCUCCUCUCCAGUCAAUAUGCUUCCCAGUUCCCAGGCCACUGCCAGAUGCCCCUGAAUGAGUUCCCAGCCUGCUGACCUGUACCUCUCUGAGUCGCUCCUGGGGGAGCCGGGAAGCUGCUGCUCAGCAAAUUCCUGCCAAGACGAAGCUCAGCUGAUUUUACGCUGCCCCCAGGCUUUUUGUAAUGACAACCAUGCCAGCCUCUCAGGAGUUGUCAGGUGGAGAAGCUGGAAGGGUUAGCAGCUGGGGAGGGUGCAUUAGGGAACAUGGGGUUGCUGGAAGACAGGCUGGGGUUUUGGCACACAGGAGGUGGCUGAAAUUGUGGUCAAUAAAGUCAAGAUGUGGCCAAGCCCAGAUGUGGCUUCAUGUUCCCCUCCUCAUUCUGGGCAGGGGGAAAGAGAGCUAGCUGGGGACUGAAUUCCUGAUUGUGUCUACGUUAGAAUGUUCCUACCCUUUAGUCCCAACUGGUAGCACUCAGUAGAAACAGCUAGUGCAGCCCAAGUGCCAGCACUGCUGUAGCAUCUCCCCCCUGCUCCCAGCACAGGGAGACAACAUGAUGGAGAAACCACCAGCAGCUGCUCCACCCAAGCACCCUGUCAGGGCUAGGCCCAGCUCAGCUGCAUGAGUGCAGAAGAGAAUAUUGUGUCUGGUUACCAGGGAAAAGGCAGGCUGAAAUAAUGGCUUGCUGUAGCAGGAUAUUUCCACUAAUACACUCAGCAGUGAAAUAGUUAACCUGGCUGCAGUUUCAGCAGCCAUCGUGAGGUUUCAGAAUGAACACCCUUUUUCUCUAAACUGGAAUGACUGUAAUGUCUCCCGGAGCUGUUGCUCCAGGCUGGAAGCUGGCCUGGCUGGAGAACAGUUCUUAUGCAGCCAUGAGGAGGAGCUUUUUAAGGGAAAAAGCUGCAGGGAGCUAAAUCCCUUCAGUGCCCCUGAACACCCUGGACCUGCUUAACCGUGCAUUUCUUGGGUGCUGAUCGCUGCAGCGUCUGGAUUGCAAGGAGCUGCUGUUGCAUCACAUUCCCCAAGGCAGCGAGGAUCCCCCGCCCUUCCGUCCGCUCCCAUCGUCCCCAUGUUGUGCUUACAGUGUAGGUGAUGUCCUAGUUUUACUUCUUGUCACUCUGCAUGAAAGGGCGGCUGAGUGGAGGAGGGGAAGAUGCAGACAGAGGGGUGCUGGGCCAA
This is a long non-coding RNA of Dermochelys coriacea (leatherback sea turtle), 1571 nucleotides long. RefSeq lists it as uncharacterized. The record is from RefSeq and is a predicted model, not a curated record. The transcript is spliced from 2 exons. Lineage: Eukaryota; Metazoa; Chordata; Testudines; Dermochelyidae.